This is a long non-coding RNA of Myxocyprinus asiaticus (Chinese sucker), 4195 nucleotides long. RefSeq lists it as uncharacterized. The record is from RefSeq and is a predicted model, not a curated record. NCBI's taxonomy places the organism in Eukaryota, Metazoa, Chordata, Actinopteri, Cypriniformes, Catostomidae. The transcript has 3 exons.
AAUGCAGCCCUGCAGUGCAGCAUUAUUUCUAUGCUUUAAGACAGUGGCUAGAGAGAAAGAUGACCACAGUGCCGCCAGUCAAUGUCGCCAGCAUCCAGACUGCAGUUCUGCACACAUUCAGCUUCACUGCCAGAGUCAGUCAAUGGCCAGGUCCAAGGGUGUCUGACAAAGCUCUCAAUAUGCAGAGGUCCUCUCACAAGUUAUAGAACACAAGCAACAAUAAACAAAAGAAAAUAAAAAACCCAGCACUACUUCAAAAGUGCACUUUACAAGGAAUACAUGAUUGAUAAAAAUAUGGAUUUUUCCAUACACAACAGCAAUAAAAUAAUAAUAAUAAUUACAAAGUGCAUUUCGGGAGCAACUGGGUGUCUAAAUAUUAAGGUAAUAACAAGGUUUAUCAAUUUGCACAGGUUUUAAAAGGCCAAAUGUCUGUGUAUGGAAUGUUGUAGCUUAAACAGUCUAUAACCCCAUAAUUGUAUAUUGCAUUAUGUUUUGCUUAGUCCCAGAAUGCUCUCUUCCACUGUUUCCUUGGCAACAGUGGGCAGAAAGGAGUGAGAUGGCAGAAGGUAGAAACAGAAAGAAAAAGACAGAAGACAGAGUUGGGAGAAGAGAUAAAAAGAAUACAUGCUUUUGGUGAUUUAGUAGUAGAAGGAAGUUAACUUAAAUACCAACAGAACACACUGAAAAAGCAAUAGCACCAACUUUAACUGAAAGAACAAAACCCUCACAAACAAAACCUUUUCAUCAAACAUAUAAACACACAUAACAACCACCAGACUACCCUUUAUACACACAUACAGGUCAAUAUUAUGGAAUCUAAAAAAAAAAAAAAAAAGUGCAAAAACUUCUAGUCUUAGUCUAAAGAAUAAACUUUAGACUUUUGACCUUUCCUGACCUGUGAUCUAUUGAAUUGGUCAAGAGAUUUCAACGUGUAUUUGAAGAGGGAGUGUAACUACAGUAAACCACAGACUGUGGGCAAACAGGAAGAGAGCGAGAUUAAGAGAGAAAAAGACAGUGAAGUAAAAUGCAAUAACAGGAAGCAUUAGAGACAGUCCCACAUUUAGAAUGAAAGGCCUCAAAAGGGAAUGGUUAUGUGUGGCUUUUUUUCACUGAUUUGCCGUAUGGAUCUUAACAUAUGGGAACCUUUGUAGUGUCCAUUGGUAACAACUGCAUCAUAGCAUGUUGUGUCCUCUUACCAUGGCAACAGCCCAGGAACCACAUCGAACCACAUCGAUCUCAAACCCUCGUCACUCAAGAACAACCACAACAACAACAACAAACAAUUGCGGAACUUCCAGCUGUGAGAACUCCAAGAAAAUAAAAGAUGAGGAACUGAAAACUACUCAGCUUUCAUCCACUUCAGAAGCUCCUUAAUGAUGUUACUUUUUUGGGAAAAUGAUCCAGUCAUUUUAUUUAAUGCAGUGCAAUGUCAGAUCUAUUACACUGUCAGAAUUUGUAUCUUGGGUGUUGAAAUCUGUAUCUUUGGUUUUGAAAGUUGAAAAUUGUCAGACAUACAGCAGAGGGUAGAUGGUAAGCAGUGUACUGUUGAUUUAAAACGUCUAAUCCAAAAAUGUCUUACUGACCAUGAAUCUGUAUUUUGGAUUAGGAUUUUUUUUUUAUGAUUACAUUUUUUUUAUUUGACAUUUUUAAUCUUAUAUGUUUUCAAAUAUAUUGUAUUUAGGCUAAUAUUAAUUUUAGCUCUUUUUCUUGCAUAUUAGUAACAAAAACAGCGCAGGUCCCAGUGUCACCUGCAACAUUAUAUACAAGAUGAGCCAGUCUCCAUCUCUCAGUGGAACUGAGCCGGACACAGAUACAUAAAAGGCACAUCAUGAUUUUAUUCCUCAUAUUUUCAUUUGGGUAUCUUAAUGUGAGGAAUAUUCCACAAAUGUGUUGCCACAUGGAAAAAAAAUCAUCUAGAUAAACUAAAUUUAAGUAAACUUUCCAUUGAGGUGUUCCAAGUCAUGUCCCAUUUUUAUUAAGUAGAAGAUUUGAUUUUAAUAGAUUGUGUCAUAUCCGUGAGGGUCAGAGUAUUGUAUUUACAAUUCUAUUUAAACAAUUUGUUAUGUUGCAGUUCCUCAUAAAGUCACCAAUAACACUUUACAAUAAGGUUCUAGUUGUUAUCAUUAGUUAACAACAUUAGUUAACAUAAACUAACAAUGAACAAUACUUUUAUAGCAUUUUUUUAAGGGAUAGUUCAUAGAAAAUUGAAAAAUUCCCUCAUCAGGGACAGUGGUGGCUCAAUGGCUAAGGCUCUGGGUUACUGAUUAGAAGGUUGGGGGUUCAAGCCCCAGCACAGCCAAGUUGCCACUGUUGGGCCCUUGAGCAAGGCCCUUGACCCUAUCUGCUCCAGGGGUGCUAUAUCAUGGCUGACCCUGCACUCUGACCCCAGCUUAGCUGGGAUAUGUGAAAAAAAGUAUUUCACUGUAUAUGUGCAAAUGUGUGAGAAAUAAAUAUAAUUAUUAUAUCAUUUACUCACCUUAAUAUGUGUCCGUUUUUACCAUUAAUUCUCCUCCUUGCCCAGUAGAUGGCAAUAUGCACGAAGAAUGCAAAUCGCAAAAAAACAAAAGAAGAAGAAUAUGAAAGUGGAGAUUUAUAGAAAUAAAGGACUUGAUCUGUUUCUCACCUACACCUGUCAUAUCGCUUCUGAAGAUAUGGAUUUAACCACUGGAGUCUUAUGGAUUACUUUUAAGAUGACUUUGUGUUGUUUGGCGAUUCAAAGUUUUGGCCACCAUUCACUUUCAUUUUGAGGACCUACAGAGCUGAAAUAUUCUUCUAAAAAUCUUUGUUUGUGUUCAGCAGAAGCAAGAAAGUCAUAAACAUCUGGGAUGGCAUGAGGGUAGGGCUGGGUAAAAGUAUUGAUUUUGUCGAUAUAAUUUUAAACAUGUCAAGGAUUAGCCACUGGCUGAAAUAUAUGCAACACAGUAUAUGCAAUUUCAAGACAUUAAUUGGUAUAAUAGACUGAAUCUGAACAUUUUUCAAAAGCUAAAAUGUGACCAAUUUGAUGAAAAACUAAUGAUAAAAUAUAAUUAGUAAAAUUAAUAUUUUCGAACUGUACCUAGAAGGGUUGCCUAGAAGGUUCCUGUAUAAUUAAAAGCAUUAGCUGAGAGAGGUUUAUUUUAUAUGUACAAAAAAUAGACAUUGUAACAGAAAUCUCCAUAUGAAUAUCAAAUCUAAUCUAAUUGGGAAAUAUUUAUCAAUACCAGUCCUACAUGAGGGUGAGUAAAUGAUGAAAUAAUUUUCAUUUUUGGUUAAACUAUCCCUUUAAUCUUGGUUAAUGUUAAUUUCAACAUAUAGUAAUACAUUUUUUACAUCAAAAGUUGUUUGUUAACGUUAGUUAAUUCACUAUGUACUAAAAUGAACUAACAAUGGACAAUUGUAUUUUUAUUAGCAAACAUUAACAAAGAUUAAUAAAUGCUGUAAAAAAAUGUUUUUUUCAUUGUUAGGUCAUGAUACCUAAUGCAUUAUCUAAUAUUAAAUGUAACAUUAGUGUAAAGUGUUACCAAGUUAUCAGUCAAAUUAGUCCAUUUUAUUUACUUGCCAAAGCCAAUUUUCACUCACAUUUGGUGCUUGGUAAGUGCUAAUUUUGGAUCAUUUCUAAGCUUUCUGUAUAGAGCAAAAAUAGCAUAUAUUAAUCUGAGUGGGCUGUGACUAAUCUGCCUCAUGUUAAUCUUAGCAUGGGGUGUGUAUAUAUCUGUAAUCUGCACAGUAAUGACAGACGGAGCUUUCUCGGCUGCGUGAACUCACCGGCUGAUCUUGACUUGCACCCUCACAUGCAGAAAGACACACACACACAAACACACACAUAGGACUGUGAGCUCCAUGUCCAUCAUCCACUUGCUGUCGGAGCUUAGAGCUGGCUGCUGUAUUCAUGAUUAUAUUCCCAUCUCUUUGGAAGGGUUAAUAAGGGCAGAGAAAUUAGGAAGUGAGAUUGGCUGGGAUGUUUUCUGGGAUGUAAUCUAAAUUGCUGGUGCAGGUUUUUUGGAAUGUAUGAAGCAUCCUGCUAUAAAUGUAUUAUCAUUACUGUCAAACAUGGCCAUGACCGCCAAUUUUUGCAUAUUAAUACACUUUUGCUACUUUGCAUAAAUAUUUUUGUACACAUGUGUGCAGACAGACUUAAUACAUCCUGCUUGUGUAUAGAUGCUUCUGCUUUACACACACAAAGACAUGUACAGAAUACACAUGUGUACACACACAC